This 246-nucleotide long non-coding RNA is filed under the name Malus domestica (apple). RNAcentral describes it as "long non-coding RNA (MDOM_LNC007503)". The record is from RNAcentral. Lineage: Eukaryota; Viridiplantae; Streptophyta; Magnoliopsida; Rosales; Rosaceae.
AGCAAGCACAGUGGCAAUGCACGACAAGGGUGUGUUGUGGCAAAAACACACACCUAAUUGUCCUAUAAAUAGGGGUCAAUUGGUUCCUAAUGCUAUAAGGGAGAGUACAUACCAAAUGGCAAAAGGAAAAUCAAAAGAAGGAAGCAUAUUCCAACCAAAAGAAGGAAGCAAAUUCAUAGCUAAAAAUGGAAAGUUUCUGCCAAUUUGCGCAAGCAGGACAUUUAUGGUGAUAAUUCAACUUUCCAG